Ceratotherium simum simum (southern white rhinoceros) is the source of this 2194-nucleotide non-coding RNA. NCBI's taxonomy places the organism in Eukaryota, Metazoa, Chordata, Mammalia, Perissodactyla, Rhinocerotidae. The record is from RefSeq and is a predicted model, not a curated record.
GUUGCAUGAGGAGCCACAUUUAUUCUUAAUUGGACAGAGCCUUAAGUGCACACACACAGUACAGGAGCCUAGAGCCUAACAUUCGGGUUUAGGACGUCAGGGAACUAGAGUCAUUACCUCAGGAUGGCGGUUACAGUGCAGGGGCCGGAGUGUGCCACACAACCACGUAUGUACAAGCCACAAGGGAACUCGGGGGACCACUAGCUACAGGAAGCACAGGCCCGGGAAGAAGCCACAGCCUCUGUCGAUCCUGGGGGAAUGCUUGCCCCAUCUCAGGAAUAAAGGAGGGCGCCUCCCGGAGUCCCACGCAGGGGGGCUGACGGAGGACCAGUGCGGCAAUCCCGCUAGCGCCUGCACCAUCAGUGACAUUCAGGGACCCUCACCAAGCCCUUUGCCACACCUCCCCCAGAGGUGCUGAGGGGGGAUCAGGAUUGAGGGGAGACCACCUCACCGCAGUCACCCUGGGUGUGUGUGCAUGUUUGUGUGCGUGCAUGUGCGCCUGUGCGUGUCAGUGAGUCAAACCUUGAUGUCUUAUAAGUGAUUACUCAGGGCGGGGAGGCCUGGGGACCUUACGAGAGCAUCAACACUCACCCCUGUGCACCCACCGGGUCCCGCUGGAGCUCAGUGCCAGUUGGCCUGGAACCCAGCAUCCCCUCCCUGGGCCUGUCUCUGGGGUCCCAGCAGAAGGAGCUCACCCUCCCUUGGAGGGGACAGAGAGCCCUCCCCAGGCGAGGAUGGCCAUCCCUCAAACCAAAUGAGGCUGCAGCCUGAGCAACAUCAAACUUUAAAAAAAAAACAUCUGAGAGAGGCUUUCUAGAUCUUUCUCUCCUUCCCCACUUAGUGGGAAACAGCAGCCACAGCCAGACCUGACUUUCCUCCCUGCACCCCACGAUGUGAGGGCCCUCAGUGGCCCUCCAGAUCAGCCCGUCAUGUCAUAGAUGUGAAGACCGAGUCGCAGUUUGUUAAGCAACUUGUCCCCGGCUUGUGUGACCCGUGGGUAGUUUUGGGCAUGAGCAUUUCCUGACUCACAGAUGGAUUUCUCUCCCCAGAAACCCCGGGUUUCUGGACUCCAACCCAGGACCUCCCACUGGAGCAGAUCUGAAAGGAGGAAGUGACAGUGGGGAUAGGGCCAUCAGGUAGCACACACCUGGCUCCUAGUCAAGGCCAAGACAGCACCAGGUCAAAAUGAAACAGUCCCUGGGGCACCUCCACGGCCAUGGAGGCUCCUGAACUUGGGGGCCAUUUUGGGAAACCCUCGCGUGGGCCCCUCCCCUCAGCCCCGUCCCGCGUAGCAGGUGCUCUGCAGGUUGGCUGGCCCCAGACACCUGCGCCCUGGUGGGGGGGCCUCAGACCCUUCCGAGGCCACAGCUUCAGGCUGGUUGACCUGAGUGGGCUGCGGCCUGGGCCCCGCACCUCCAAUCUCCCUGCAGUGAGGGGGGCUCUCGGGGACCCGACUCAUCUUAGAACAACUCACCCCAUCCCUGUUUCUCCUCCUUGCCCUCAAGACCGUCCUAAAAGCCAGAGUAAGUGCUGGUUCCAGACUCUGCAGUCACCUCUGCUCUCUGCAUCUCAGUCCAAUACCUCCAGGAACGUCUGGAGGGGAGUACGGGCCUCGUGGUUUCUGGACAAUGUUUGAUGUCAGCCCAGGAUGGGAACCCUCAUCUGAGGACCUCCACAUAAAGCCGCUGAGCCCUGCGUUCACAGAUGUGCUUUCUCAGGACCUGACUCUUACUGAGGGAGCUGCUCCAUCAUUAGCACCUCCCAGGCACUGGGGAUGACGGCAGCAGGGAGCGAAGGUAGCCACUGCCACGCUGCCCCUGAGCCAGGUUCGAAAAGGCACGCUCAGUCUCAACUCCCCACCGGGCCUGAGCCCAUCAUCCCGGGUCGCACGUCUGAGGCGAAGCUUAUGGGGCCUGAACAACUUUCCCAAAGGAAAACCUCGAACUGGAACCUUCUUACUUGUAUGGGAGCCAACACCAUACAUCCCCAGGGGAGAGACACUGCAGGCACUUCUGGUCUCAGUGCAUGGAACUGGGAGAAUGCCCACGUGUCAUGUCAGUGCCAGGUGGGGACAGCCUGGGAUAAAGGGGGGUCUCAGAACCACUGACACCUGAGUGUGUUAGGGUCGUCCAAACCAAGUGGAAAGGUGAGGGGUCAGUGAGCAACACCCAGCAAGAAUGGCAAAGGGGUGGAA